RNAcentral lists this long non-coding RNA (1537 nucleotides) under Homo sapiens (human). RNAcentral describes it as "HSALNT0185581". Lineage: Eukaryota; Metazoa; Chordata; Mammalia; Primates; Hominidae. The record is from RNAcentral.
GUCAGUGGUUAAACUUACAGCACAGUCCAUGCUCAUAGGUUCACACAUUUCAAAUCAAAACGAAGUAGUCUAACAAUAGAAUAUAUAAAUCAUCUCAGUUACAUUAAUAUUUACAUUAAAAAUAUCCAUACAAAUAGACUCAGCCUGAUACCAAUGAAAUACCAAAGAUAAAUAAUCUAAAGGCAAAUAAUCUAAGGACAGAGCAAGACAGCAACCAAUUCAACAAACUUAAAAAACACCUACUAUAUGGAAAAGACUGUGCUAGGGUUCUGCACUAUCUCAUGAAUGGGGAAGAGGUGGGAUGAGGUGCAGACAGUACUUGGAAAAAGUCUGAUUAUUUCAAGUGGUCUCUUUAUUAAGGAAGGAGGUAAAAGGAACAUAACCUGAGCGCAAUAAAAAUCUAGUUUCAUAUAAAACUAGUAUUAUACAAAAUUCAGUUUCUAAUGAUCACUGUCCAUCAGCAACUUACAAUCAAAUAAAAGACAGAUCAAAGUAUAAGAAAAUUGUAGACGGUAAUAUUUUCCUAAUGACCUAGUCUCCCAUCUUGGUUUAAAUAUGAGAAAUUCUAGUAGAUAGUGGGGAUAGAGCUAAAUAAACGAAAACGUAAGGAAGUUAGAGAACGGGGACAAAGACUUAAAGAUUUUUCAACGUAAGCACUAUUUCUCCUCAACCUUGUUCAGUUUUUAAUGGAUCAUCUUAUAGAACGUUUCCAUUAUUGCAAAAAAGUUAUUGGACUGCCCGACUCUAGAGCCUACCUGCUCAGGAGUCCUGGCAAGCCUUCAGAAACUAAUUAUUCCACCCAAAAUUCAGUGCUAACUUGUUCCUAGGGCAAGUGGAUUAUAACUACUGGAACAGUGCAACUUUUUAAGAGUGGGGCUUCAGAUGGAAGAAUAAAAGGAAACAAGGAACAUGGUUACUAAAAGUAAUGAAAGAGGAAAUCUAUCAGAAAGAGGUUGAAAGGAACUGGGAAACUGAAGUGAGACUCGUGGUCAAUAGGAGUUAAAAAUAUUUAUGUACAUUCAUACAUACAUAUAUGUUUGUCUAAAUGUUUAACAAUUUAUAAAGCUGAAAACUCAUUUAGUUCUCCCCCCUCCCCUACACACCAAAUACAUUGUGAAAUAAGGAAUAAAGACAUAAUCAAAGAUAUGCCUAACAUGGGGUAGACUGUACUCUUGUAACACUUUAGGACCUCACUGCUUAUAACUGAAAAUAUUUAAAUGUGAAUAAUCCCUGAGGGGUUUGUCAUAACUGUAAAAAAAAACUAGACCUUGUAUAAGCCCCCCAAAAUUAAAUCCAAUCAUGUAUGAAGGAAAUAAGGGACAAUCUACACUUGCCUUUCAUGGAUGGGAAUCUGGCUACAUAGUUCCACCUAAAGUAUCUUCUGUCACAGGAUAUAUCUACCAGAACAAUUUCUUAUUAUCUCUAAAGUGAAUUAGAGACAUAGCCUCCUGGAAAAAACAAAAAACUACUCUGCAACCAGGAUUUGGUAUGUUUUAUUAGAGCAAAUUUUUAACAAAAGGUGGCUUUCAUUUACAGA